GGCGAUCUUGCUGUGACAUUGUUCACUUCAUUGAUUUCCAGGGUUGAUUUGCUGAUCUUGCUGGCUAGGCAGAUCUUGUGGUGCCAUGUGUGUCCUGCUGAAGGUGCCCUGUUCAAAGAGGAUGACCUUCCCAGAAUACAGGAAAACUGGUCUUCAGUUGAGAGUAUAAGAAAAGUUGCCACUCGAACCUAGAAGUUCUCAAAAUGGCUGGCAUCACUUAGAUAGCUGAAAGGGCUUCUAAAUGUUUUAGUGAAAGUUAAUU
RNAcentral lists this small nuclear RNA (262 nucleotides) under Jaculus jaculus (lesser Egyptian jerboa). Its description in RNAcentral is "7SK RNA (ENSJJAG00000006849.1)". It matches the Rfam family "7SK RNA". From Rfam's summary of the family: 7SK was discovered as an abundant small nuclear RNA in the mid-70s but a possible function has only recently been suggested. Two independent studies have found that 7SK RNA binds the CDK9/cyclin T complex (known as elongation factor P-TEFb). The record is from RNAcentral. Lineage: Eukaryota; Metazoa; Chordata; Mammalia; Rodentia; Dipodidae.